CCGGAGGGAAACCGAGUCUUAAUUGGGCGUUAAGUUGCAGGGUAUAGACCCGAAACCCGGUGAUCUAGCCAUGGGCAGGUUGAAGGUUGGGUAACACUAACUGGAGGACCGAACCGACUAAUGUUGAAAAAUUAGCGGAUGACCUGUGGCUGGGGGUGAAAGGCCAAUCAAACCGGGAGAUAGCUGGUUCUCCCCGAAAGCUAUUUAGGUAGCGCCUCGUGAAUUCAUCUCCGGGGGUAGAGCACUGUUUCGGCUAGGGGGCCAUCCCGGCUUACCAACCCGAUGCAAACUGCGAAUACCGGAGAAUGUUAUCACGGGAGACACACGGCGGGUGCUAACGUCCGUCGUGAAGAGGGAAACAACCCAGACCGCCAGCUAAGGUCCCAAAGUCAUGGUUAAGUGGGAAACGAUGUGGGAAGGCCCAGACAGCCAGGAUGUUGGCUUAGAAGCAGCCAUCAUUUAAAGAAAGCGUAAUAGCUCACUGGUCGAGUCGGCCUGCGCGGAAGAUGUAACGGGGCUAAACCAUG
Molecule: ribosomal RNA, 527 nt
Filed under: Salmonella enterica subsp. enterica serovar Paratyphi B var. L(+) tartrate +
Lineage: Bacteria; Pseudomonadati; Pseudomonadota; Gammaproteobacteria; Enterobacterales; Enterobacteriaceae
Description: partial 23S ribosomal RNA
Rfam family: Bacterial large subunit ribosomal RNA
Source: RNAcentral